AACGGUCUAUACCUGCGGUACCUGCGGAGGGAUCAUUAACAAUUGUCCUGUUUUUAUGGAUAAUUUUAUCCAUAUCCACCUUGUGUGAACUAGAGAAAUGUGAGUUGGCAGGUUUUUCUCUUGUGAGAGAGGAUAAAGGUGCUUCAGUUGAGGCGCCUUACGAGAAAAAUUCUCGGCCUGCCAAUUUUUAUAAGUCUCAACUCGUCUGUAACUGUUUUAUGACUGAAAAUUUUAAAAUUA
RNAcentral lists this unclassified non-coding RNA (240 nucleotides) under soil metagenome. RNAcentral describes it as "partial contains 5.8S ribosomal RNA, internal transcribed spacer 2, and large subunit ribosomal RNA". The record is from RNAcentral.